UCAACUCAGAAUUCUUAGAAAGUCCCCAAGUUUUAAUAAGAUAUCUUUUAUUAGACAGCCUAGUUGUCACAGAGGUUGUUAAUUGAACACUAUUUAUUUCUCAUUACCCCAAUAAUAAUCUGUCACUUGUGAUGAACUUUAAAACCCUCCUGUUCCUAUAAGUCCUUCCUCUGAAGUGCCUGAGCUGAGAGAAUAGGCAGCACCCCUGUGAGUAAUAACAUUCUCUAUUCUUCAAGUAAGUAAUGCUACCUUCUUUCUUCCCCAAAUCAUUUUCUUUGAAGAUCUAUUUUAUAAUUCCAGACUUUCAUGAUGUCGUGAAAUUGUUUCUUAUCUCUUUCUUUCUUUCUUUUUUUUUUUUUUUUUUCCUUCUGCAGAGUCCAGAAUCAGAAGGAAUGGCAUAGAGGAGAAUCAGAAUGUAUUUCAGGAGGAGAGACUUGGCUCUAAUGAUGUCCAAAGCAAUAUUAUGAGGAGAAGCCAAGUUUAUUAAUGAGCAAGACACAAUAUAAAAUCCAUCUUAUUGACCUGAAAGAUCAAGAUGACUGAAAUGUAUUCCAAUUUAUUUGCUAAAUCGAGAGAUUGAUUGUCUUACAGCAAUAUUUUGUCUGUGUACCCUCAGCCCAGCAUUUAUGAUAAUUUAUUUUUAAGAAUUAGCGCAUAAAUAUAAUGUCAAGUCUUUUUGUCAA
Erinaceus europaeus (western European hedgehog) is the source of this 683-nucleotide long non-coding RNA. RefSeq lists it as uncharacterized. The record is from RefSeq and is a predicted model, not a curated record. The transcript has 2 exons. Lineage: Eukaryota; Metazoa; Chordata; Mammalia; Eulipotyphla; Erinaceidae.